CUGCGUCAUUGAGUCCUUUGUAACCGCUGAAAGUUCCAAAUUAUGAGAGUGAUGCUUCUUAGCACUGCCAAGGGAAAAUUUUAACUAGUUAGGCCAGUCCAUCACGGGCCUCAUCCAUGUUUUUCUGCCGAGCAGUAGAGGACACAAGUGUUUCCAAUCCGGUCAUGUCGUGAGACAUCUCGGUGGAGCAGAGUCGCGGCAGGACGAAAGGAACCCAGCCCCCGGCUCCGGAGUCCCAGCGGCUCGUCUCCCCUUCGGCCCGGAGCAGCCUGGCCGGGCGGCCGUGGGUCAGGGACCUGGGGUCUCCUCAGACGCGGGAAUCCGCGACGCGCGCUCCUCUUUCGGGCUGAGCUUGGGACCAAAGGACGGGAUUUCAAUGAGUGAAGCCUGCACAUAAGUCCUGAUCUGCAAGCAGAGAACUGGCAAUGAAGGGUGGUCCAGCUACAUCUGAGCAAACUUCAAGAACACUCACGGAGCAAACUGCAAGAGCAAUCACGGGAGCCUUUGGCUUGAUUCCGUUUACAGAAAUUUAUAGAAGUAUCAAGUUAAUUCAAGGCCUCCUUGAUUCUUGCCUGCACCAGCCCUUUCCCUCCUUCCCCACUCUGCU
Molecule: long non-coding RNA, 607 nt
Filed under: Capra hircus (goat)
Lineage: Eukaryota; Metazoa; Chordata; Mammalia; Artiodactyla; Bovidae
Description: lncRNA (ENSCHIG00000006959.1)
Source: RNAcentral